UCGCAAUCCCAGCCUGGCAACCGGCAAGUUUGCGGGCCUUAUUUCAUGAUUCUCCAGAGUCAGCAGAGUAACAGGAUGUAUUACUCUGCCUUUGGCAAUCUUACCCACUCCCGUCUCCACCACGCACUACUAUAGCACUCAACUCGCCAUGCAGUACCUUUUUUGCCGUUUAGGACGCUUUCCAUCAACAAAUUUCUCAUCUGCGAUUCCGAGUCAUUUGAAUAUCGAUGACGAUACCUCCAUGUAAAUUGGCCUCUAGUUUUGCAUUUUGCAUCUAUUGCUCCAAUUUCUCCAGGUCUUACGGACAGCCUUGGUUGUCUCGGCAGCAAUAACGCGAUGAGAGUAAACAAAAUCACUACCAAGUACUCUUACGUCGUCACCUUGCAAGCCUUCUUUUGCUCUCUACAAUCUUGGGGAAACACGAAAAAGAUGAUUCAUCAUAAGCAUCAUGCACGACUUUGACUCCAUCCAGCAAUAUCUCGUCGACCCUUGCGGAACCAUUACACUGGGGAUUAUUAGUAGGAAACCAAUUUUAUCGGACAAUAAUUUCGAGGUCUUUGAAUUCGGCGGAGUUGUACUUGAGGAAGAGUUCAUGAAAUCGACUAUGAAUCUGUCUUUGAGAAAAGGAGGAAAAAUAUCUACAUCCCUUUUCAACCAAUCCUGAGGAACAGACUUUUAUCUCCUCAAUUCCUCCAAAACAGCCGUCCCAUCUCCCCUCGGUGAGAUAUGUAUACUGCUCUCCAUGUUGGAUAUGCACCUCCUCCGCCUUGCACUUCACCACUAGUACCUGUCCCAUGGUCAUCUCGCAUUGACGAAGAGUUUCCGAUACCGGAAUCGUCGAUGAUAAGGUGGGGGGAGGAAGAGGUAAGGUGGAUAAGGAAGAAACAUAGACGAUGCGGUUUCGGAUGAAGGGAAUGAAAGCGACUCGUUGUGGGUACGGAGCCAGGGAGGUACUUGUGCUGGCUGAGAAUGCGUCUGAAAAGGAGUGAGCUAUAAUUGGUGAAAUGGAUGUCAAGGAGUUAUUCUUUUCAUGGCGUGGAUGGUAAGCCUCACUUCGGUUUUAUCCUCAUCCCCCGUGACGUAUCAGAAUUGAAAACGGCAAAAGCGACGUUCUUUUCCACUGCAUCACAAGAUAAUCACCUUGGGAAGACCAGUGUACCACAAUGUGUCUCAUGAGGUUGAUAGUCAUAGAAGUCCGUUUCCUACACCACGUUUAUUUCUUCAGCAUUUGCCCUCUCCUUUUAAGGCAACAGAACGGAUAAGGAGAGAUCGAAGAGAAACACAACUCUCAGGGUACUUCUCCGCCGACUCUUAUAAACUUGGCGUAACUAACUGUACCUCUGCAUCUUUUGUUCCCAUGCAUUCGGCCUAUCAAGGCCGAAUCAGGUUGUGCCAGCUCAAAAGGAUGACCAGCCAAGAGAGGGGGAUCGCCCUGCAUAGACGGUUACGUCGUAGUCUUUAACAAUUAACAUGGUAGACUUUGGAUUAUAGGUGAAUGACACUUCGAGGAAGGGGGAGGGAAACGAUAAAGUUAGAGAAGAGGAAAACCUAAUUGGAAAGUUCAAGAGCGCAGGCAAGUCCGAUAACGUUAGAACCGUGUACGGUAUCGCGAGGACGAGUGGAACUUGGGACAGGCCUCUUAUCUUCUCGCCUUGGUCUGAUCUAGAUAAAGAUGGGAAGGUGUUGAUUGUCUACUAGAAGGAAAAAGUAAGAGUUUGGCCCAGUCCUGACGUAUCCUUCUUGAUUGGUCCGAUUUUGCGGCCCGAGGUACAAGGCCUAAUUUUGUUUGGGAUCUGAUCAGCAAUCAUUGAUGUGUUGUGUUGUUGACGUUUUAUCACGAGGAGUCUGACGGUGCCGUGUAUGGAAUAAAAAAGGACGGGAGAAGAAAGGAGCUUUUCUAGUUUAUCUCGUUUUUGUUUGGUUUCGCAUGAUUUGAAUCUGAUCGGCUUUUGGUCAAUCUCCGACGAGUGAUUGAUCACCGUCAGCCGCAAAACGCCGCCUACAUACGUCCUUCGCCCAGAUCUCAGCGUAGUCACUCUUCUGGGAUGUGUUACCUUCCAACCUAUCUCUUAUGGAUGUAAACUGCCGAGGCCCUUUAUUUAGUGAUCACCGCGAUCCAAAUGUUGCAAGCCCCAAC
This 2137-nucleotide small RNA is filed under the name Cryptococcus neoformans H99. RNAcentral describes it as "Cryptococcus neoformans var. grubii H99 hypothetical RNA". The record is from RNAcentral. Lineage: Eukaryota; Fungi; Basidiomycota; Tremellomycetes; Tremellales; Cryptococcaceae.